UACGUAGGGACCGAGCGUUGUCCGGAAUCAUUGGGCGUAAAGAGCGUGUAGGCGGCCUUUUAAGUCCUGCGUGAAAUCCUGCGGCUCAACCGCAGACGGUCGUGGGAAACUGGAAGGCUAGAGUGCGGGAGAGGAGAGUGGAAUUCCCGGUGUAGCGGUGAAAUGCGCAGAUAUCGGGAAGAACACCCGUGGCGAAGGCGGCUACCUGGACCAGCACUGACACUGAGGCACGAAAGCGUGGGGAGCAAACAGG
RNAcentral lists this ribosomal RNA (253 nucleotides) under uncultured bacterium. Its description in RNAcentral is "partial 16S ribosomal RNA". It matches the Rfam family "Bacterial small subunit ribosomal RNA", at positions 524 to 776 of the family's 1533-position model. The record is from RNAcentral.